UAGGGAAUUUUCGUCAAUGGGCGCAAGCCUGAACGAGCGAUGCCGCGUGAGUGAAGAAGGCCUUCGGUCGUAAAGCUCUGUUGCGGGGGAAAAAAGGCAGCAUCAGGAAAUGGGUGCUAAGCUGAUGGUGCCCCGCCAGAAAGUCACGGCUAACUACGUGCC
This 162-nucleotide ribosomal RNA is filed under the name uncultured bacterium. Its description in RNAcentral is "partial 16S ribosomal RNA". It matches the Rfam family "Bacterial small subunit ribosomal RNA", at positions 355 to 509 of the family's 1533-position model. The record is from RNAcentral.